RNAcentral lists this ribosomal RNA (477 nucleotides) under uncultured organism. Its description in RNAcentral is "partial 16S ribosomal RNA". It matches the Rfam family "Bacterial small subunit ribosomal RNA", at positions 332 to 800 of the family's 1533-position model. The record is from RNAcentral.
UACACUCCUACGGGAGGCAGCAGUGGGGAAUUUUGGACAAUGGGCGAAAGCCUGAUCCAGCCAUGCCGCGUGCAGGAUGAAGGCCUUCGGGUUGUAAACUGCUUUUGUACGGAACGAAACGGCCUUUUCUAAUAAAGAGGGCUAAUGACGGUACCGUAAGAAUAAGCACCGGCUAACUACGUGCCAGCAGCCGCGGUAAUACGUAGGGUGCAAGCGUUAAUCGGAAUUACUGGGCGUAAAGCGUGCGCAGGCGGUUAUGUAAGACAGUUGUGAAAUCCCCGGGCUCAACCUGGGAACUGCAUCUGUGACUGCAUAGCUAGAGUACGGUAGAGGGGGAUGGAAUUCCGCGUGUAGCAGUGAAAUGCGUAGAUAUGCGGAGGAACACCGAUGGCGAAGGCAAUCCCCUGGACCUGUACUGACGCUCAUGCACGAAAGCGUGGGGAGCAAACAGGAUUAGAUACCCCUGUAGUCCCAUGA